AUGCCUGCAGGGACUGACGUAAGACAUGUAGGACCAGUAGCAAAGUUACUGAAGACUAACCUGAGUUUGCCUCCAACUCACUUCCAAGGUGAUGCAAACAAGGAGAACUGGCCACUGAGAAUAGUUGAAGAGCUAGCCAACAAACUCAAGAGUAGAAGGGUGUCCGGGAUAUGCGAUGGCUACUGCCGAGCUCCAAGUUUUGGAGUGAUUUUUGAUGAAUUGGAACCUGGCCUUGAGGAAGGAGAUAAGGACAUCAAGAAAUGUGAUGAAGUUCUUAACAUGCAAAUAGAGGAUAUCGUGACAACGAGCAUAAGAGAACUAAUAAACCUUGAUGAUGAUGUGUGGGAUGCAGAGGAACUAGAGGCAGCAUGUGCUGAAGUGGAACGAAGGGGGAAAGAAUCAGUUAAUUGUGCUAUGUUCAGUACACCAGAGAAAAUCAUCAAUGAAACAAAUGUGGGUCAGGUGGUAAGUUUUCUAGCAGUACCAGUUCAGGGGAGGUAA
Molecule: ribosomal RNA, 501 nt
Filed under: Triticum aestivum (bread wheat)
Lineage: Eukaryota; Viridiplantae; Streptophyta; Magnoliopsida; Poales; Poaceae
Description: partial small subunit ribosomal RNA
Source: RNAcentral